This 305-nucleotide ribosomal RNA is filed under the name uncultured bacterium. RNAcentral describes it as "bacterial SSU rRNA". It matches the Rfam family "Bacterial small subunit ribosomal RNA", at positions 334 to 632 of the family's 1533-position model. The record is from RNAcentral.
UUGUCCUACGGGGCGCAGCAGUAGGGAAUUUUCGUCAAUGGGCGCAAGCCUGAACGAGCAAUGCCGCGUGAACGAGGAAGGUCUUCGGAUCGUAAAGUUCUGUUGAAGGGGAAAAAGAGCGGAGAGAGGAAAUGGUCUCCGAUUGAUAUUACCCUUCGAGGAAGUCACGGCUAACUACGUGCCAGCAGCCGCGGUAAUACGUAGGUGGCAAGCGUUAUCCGGAAUGAUUGGGCGUAACGGGGGCGUAGGCGGCCUGCUACGUCUGGAGUGAAAGGUAUCGGCUCAACCGGUACAGGCUCUGGAAA